Molecule: long non-coding RNA, 15166 nt
Filed under: Gossypium barbadense (sea-island cotton)
Lineage: Eukaryota; Viridiplantae; Streptophyta; Magnoliopsida; Malvales; Malvaceae
Description: long non-coding RNA (GBAR_LNC019828)
Source: RNAcentral
AACAUGCGAUAGUCUAAGUUUAUAUAAAUGAUAAAGAUAAUCAGAAAGGAGAGAUGACCCAACUCCUGACAUGCCAAGCCUAUUAAGUCAAUGGGUGACCUGAAAAGCAGUCAACAAACGAAAUGAGUAUAACUCAGUGUGUAACCAACGUACAUAAUCAAAUCAUAAGUAUGUAUAAAAUAUAUAGGUGUUCAUUUUCUCUUUAUUUAGACAUUUCUUAGUUUUGAAUACGAAUUCAGAACUGAGGAUAUUUGCUAUAGUUACAGAACAAAGUAGAUACGGAUGUAUAACAGAUUAGAUACAUAUGCAGUUUCCUACCCCUAUCUGCUAUACACCAUCUUCGACCAUUCCAACACACCAUAUAUAGUAUUAAAUACCCAUCCAGCCCUACACAACAUAUAGUGUCGGUAUAAUACUUUUCAGAAUAAAUACAGACUAGCUGUCAAAUCAGUAUGCGAUAAAUCGAUAGAAUCAUAUACAGAUUUGUAGCUCAACCACUCAAUUCGGCAGAUCAUUAAACUACUAGCACUUCCUUCUUUAUAUCAUUCCCACCCAAUGUAGAUAUAUAUUAUAGGUGUCAGAUAUUAAGGAUGUACAUAUAGUUAUCCAAAUACAAUUCAUAAUUAAAUAAUACAGAUCAUUCAACAGUUAUCACAUUAAUAAUACGUACAGAUAAUCGAUUAGUCAACCUCAAAAUAUUGGAUAUCAAAUUAUACAAUCUAAUUCAGAUCAGACGGAUGCUAUGGAAGGCCUGAGUUUGAUGCGAAUAACGUUUACGGCCCUAGGAAAAAUUUCAGUAUUUUGGCCCAUACGCCUGUGUGGGUUCACACGGCCUAGGUGUUUGGCCUGUGUGGCCUACAGGGCCGAGGAUACGUCAGAAUAACCCUCUUAAUGCCACACACGGUCUAUUGCAUGGCCUGGCACAUGGCUGUGUGGCUUAAAGCAGUGAAUUACAUGAUCUGUCACACGGCUAGGAGCACAUCCGUGUGACUCCAAUUUCAGAAUAACUCUCACGUGGCCUAAGCACACACCUGUGUUUAUGGCUCGUGUGACACUAAUUCACAAACAGUGAGUUACACGGCUUAGAGACAUGUCUGUGUCCUUAUCCCAUGUGAGCCUAAAUCAUAAACACUGAGUUACACGACCUGGACACAUGCUCGUGUCCCUGGCCUGUGUUACCCUAAAUCAUAAAAAGUGAGUUACACGACCUGUCAUACGGUCAUGUGGCGCAAAUAGCCUACCACACGGCCGUAUGAAAUUGACAACCAUGUUUGUCAAUGUUCAAAACUUGUAAAAAAUUGGGUUUUCGUUACACACCUGAUAUAGUUUCGAAGUGGAACGAUGCAGAAGAAUCUCGGGACCUAAAAUGACCAUCCAAUAACUAAUUAAACAACUUCAACGCAAAAGCUUCGUACGAAACUAACUUUUACAAACGAAUCAAUGGCAAUUACUCGAAUUAGCGCAUUAGGAACCACUACAUUCGAUAUCUACGCCUAAAAAGGAAAACCAAGUGAUCACUUAAUAGAUAAUUCAAAUAAAGCAAGCCAAAACCAACUUCAAUAGAAAUGAAUUGAAACAAAUGUUUAAUAAAAACUAUACAACUUACGCAAUGACCCUUCAAAAUGCAAUGAACAACGCAGAAUCCCCAAUUAAACCUGGUAACGGUUUACGAAAAUGAGCAAAAAGAAAAAGAAUGGAAAUGUGAAAUAGAAAGAAACAAGAAAAGAAGAAAAAGAAAGGAAAUGAUAGAAAACAAACUUUUGAAACAACCAAAAACUAAUAGGAUUUUACAAGUAGCAUAAAAAUAUUUCCUUGAUGCACACAUAGAGAUUCGAACACAGGAGUAGAAAGUAGGCAAAAGCUUAAUCAUCGAACCAACAGUCUCAUUCUUGGCACAAAUUUACACAAAAUUAAACUUAAGUCGAGGAUCCAAGGAUAGGGUUAAACUAAAAUAAACAAAAAAAAUCAAGAGGGAGACACGAACCCCCGAUCUCAAACACAUAAACAGAAUACUUAACCACAAAUCUAGAUACUUAAUUAUUCAUAGAAAUUAACAAACAGUUCAAAAAUUCAAGGCGUUACACAGUAUCUUCCAAAUCAGAUCUCUAGGACUUUAAGAACUCUUCCUUAUUAACCUAUAUGGACUAUUAACCAAGAAGGCCCCCGUUAAAGUACAAGCCCAAUUAAUUAUAUUUGUCCCCGCAUCUGGAUGAGAAGAGGGGAUACUCACAAUCCUUCUAAAAACACGAAACAGAUCCAGAUUCCACAUACCUCCCUCUGUCACCAUUCCACUAAGCAAGCAGUCUGAAACAAGAUUAGUAUAAGGGAUAAUAUUAUUCAAUGGCCGCACACUUGGAAUCCAUGAAUCUUUCAACAUUGAAUACUAUUGCCAUCCCCCACAGACCAAACUACAUUAUCACGGAUCAUGGACCAAACCUUAGAGAGAGCUCUCCAAAAAAAAUGAGCAUUUUCCCCUCUCAAUAUUCUCAGGUAACCUCUCUUUCAUACCAUCCCUUAAAUAAAAGUAUUAAUAGGGACAUGGUUCAAAUUUCAUACAUUGUAGUUGCCUACCUAACAUUAAUGAGACAUUUCGUCAAAAUAUAUAUACUAGUUUGUAUUUUCAUGCGAUGCACUGAUUAGUUAUGUAUAUUAAAUUUAUAAUAAUAAUUUUUGUUUAAAUUUUUUAAUGAAUUUCUUUAAAAAAUCAUUAAUAAAUUAAAAAGCUCAUCGAAUUACAAAAUACUUUUAAAAAUAUUUAACUAAUUUAAAAUCGGUUAUAUUAAUGUUAUUCAAUUUUAAAAAUAUUUAAUAUAAAAAUAAUACAAAAAAUCAUGAUUUGAAUAUUAAUAUUAAUACAUUAUAAUUUUAAAUAAUAUUAUUACAAAUUUUUACAUGUUAUUUAUUUAUAAAUAUUGUGUAAUUAAUUUGUUUUAAUGUUAAAAUUGUUAAAAUUUUAUUUUUUGUGAUUGUAUAUUUAUCUUUACUUUACUUUAAUUAAUGAAUGUAACUAACUCUUAUUAUAUUUUAAAAAUAUAAAUAUAAUUUGACAAAAGUUAUUAAUAUGUAUCUUUUUCUUAAAUUAUAUUUUAAGAUUAAUAAUUUAAUAUUUAUUAAUUUUAAUAUUAUAAAAUUAAAAUUUAAUUCAAGUAAGUAAAAUAUUAAAAUAAAAACAUAAUUUAUUUAAAAUCGAGUUAAUAUUUAACAUAUAAAAAAUUAUAAAAAAAUAUUAAAAUAAAAAAUAAUUUAUUUAAAAUCGAAUUAAUAUUUAACAUAUAAAAAGUCAUAAAGAAAAAAUUCAGACAAAAGGCAUGGAAUAACUUAAAAAAACUUAAAAGGCAAAGAAUAAGAGAGCAAUUUAUCCAACUUGUAAAUAAGUGUCUUAAAUAUAGAGUACCAUGUGUCAAAAAAAUUGUAAUAGAAAAAUGCAUAUUAUAACAUCAUAUUGCUAUAUAUAUAUGAUUUGAUUAGUAAAAAAAGUUUUAUAAUUUUUAAAAUUAAAAAAAUAAUUAAAUGCUUAUAUGUGAUCCACAUGGCAAUACACAUGUAUGCCACGUCAGCAAAAUAAAAAAGGUUAAUUUUUUCAUCCAUUUUGAGGUGAUUUGACAAAAAAACACAAGUUUAAGAGCCUAAAAAAGAGAAAAAAUAAAAUACUAAAAUGAUUUUUUUAUUAUAAAAUUUGAGGGCAAACAAAUUAUUAUGCCUUUAUGAUCGUUAACAUUUAUGUAAACACUUAUUUUGAUUGAUACCUGAGCAUAAAAAAUGAGUAUAUAAAAAUAAGAUAUUAGAGUCGAGGAGUGCUGUACGGUUUGUGGGCUUUGCGCAAAAGAUAUUUUACUUGCUAUUAGGGAUUGUUCUAUGGCUAAAGGUGUUUGGUCACAGGUCAUUCCUAUUGACAAACAAAAACAGUUCUUUUAAAGAGAUUUAGAGGAUUGGCUUGAAUCUAAUUUGAGAAAUCGUCAAGUAUUUUUAUGAAGGAGAUCGACUGGCCGUGCUUCUUUAGAGUAGUAGCUUGGAGAAUCUGGAAAAACAAAAAUAUUUUUAUUUUUCAAGGAUCAUCGUGGAGUGUAGAUAUUAUUAAAUACUCGUAUAGUUGGGCUUUACAAUGCAAAUCCAUGCGCAAGGAAGAGCAUACUAAAAAGACGAAGUCACACACAAUUUCAAGUAAAACUGAUAAUUAAAUCUAUUUAUACUCAUAUGGAGCUAUUAAGGUUUACUUUGGUGAUGCUGCCGCAGGAGGUAUUAUCAGGGAUCAUUUGGGGAAUUGGAUUCUUGGUUUCAAUAGACGACUGGGACAAUGUUCGAUCUUUAAUGCUGAGCUUUGGGGUAUUUUAGAUAGCCUGUCUCUUUUCAGAGUAGAAAGUACGGUAAAGUUUUGAUUCAGACAGACAACUUGGAGGCUAUUCAAGAAAUUCAAGCAGCAUCUUCAAAGACAUCACAUUCAGCUCUAAUCAGACGCAUUCAUCAACUUCUAUUGGAAACAGGUCUUUGGGAGUUCGAACAUAUUCCUAAAGAAGAGAACAUAGAAGUAUAUGAUAUCGCUAAACUAGCUUUUAACAAGAAUGCAAGACUGCAGUUGUUUACAGCAUGUCCGCUGAAUAUUUCUAGAUAAUUUUGUUAAUUUCUUCUGUUUAUUUUACAUAAAAAACAUUAAUGAGACACUUCAUUAUAUAUAUUAGUUUGUAUUCUCGUGUGAUGCACAGGUUAAUUGUGUAUAUUAAAAUUCAUAAUAUUUUUAUAAUAAUAUUUUUUAAAAUUUUUUAAUAAAUUUUUUAAAAACUCGUUAAUAAAUUGAAAAAGGCAUAUAAUUACAAAAUACUUUUAGAAAUAUUUAACUAAUUUAAAAUCAGUUAUAUUAAUAUUAUUUAACUUUAAAAUAUUUAAUAUUAAAAUAAUACAAAAAUAUCAUCGUUUGAAUAUUAUUAUUAAUUAUUAUGAUUUAAAUAAUACUAUUAAUAAUUUCUUACAUGUUAUUUACUUUAUAUAUAUUGUUUAAUUGUCACGGCCCAAAAAUAUAGGGGUUAAUUGAUAUAAUUAAAUAAGAAAAUGUUUAGGCUUGAUGAUUAGAUAGUUAUUACACUAUCUAGAUAUCCUUGUUUCAAGCCAUUUCUCUUCCAUUUUUUUUUCAUUUUAAUUUAAGCAAACUAGGAUGAACACCACCUUAAAACAAAUAUUUUUGGAAGUAAAAACUUAUCAAGAAUGGGCAAUAGUCCAAAUGGUUUGGCAUUCACUUCUCUCCACCUUUGCAAAUUUUUUUUGAGCCACCCCUUACCCAUUUUCAUUUCAUUUUUUUUGGCAAACUAGGAGAAUUUACCAUACAGCCCCUUAAGGUCUGAAAACCCUAACUAUUUAGUCCAAAAAUUCCCAAUUGGACCUAUAUUAUGAUUUCUCUUCAAACCCUAAUUAGAAUUUCUCUUCUCUCUCCAUAUUUCUUCUCUCUCUAUAUUUCUUCUCAUACUUCUUUUCCAUCAUUUCUUUUCAUCAAAUUUUCUUCAUAUUACUGAAAUUAUUUUACUUUCUAUAUCAAAACAAUCUCCGAUAAAUAGAUUCUCUAGCGAUUGUUGAAUUCAUCGUUGAUAGCCUCUGUAAUUCCAUCAAGUUUGGUAAGUACAUCUCAUUCUAAAGUUAGGAACCCAAAUUUCGUAGAAUUUCUAUCCUAUACUAAUCUUUCAAAUCAAUUAAUCAAUCUUUUAUGGUUUUUGGCAAAUCUUUCGUUAAAACCAUUGAGUCUUGAUAAAUCUUGGAAAUCAAGCGUUAAUCGUGUGAAAUUAUCAUUUGAAAGACCCAUUUUAGGUGCAUCGGACUAGAUUUAAGCGCGAGGAACGUCGGUCGAAAUCUCGGUGAAAGGUAUGUAUUUUUUUACAAGUGAAUUGGGGCAAAAUUUUUGUUAGGUUAAGCCCACACGGUCUGUCACAUGGGCGUGUGGACCACAUGGCCCCUUACACAGCCAUGUCCUUUUGAAAACCUAGGAUAGUUCGAAUCUCACAUGGUAAAGAACCAUCCACACAGCCUAGCACACAGUCAUAUCUCCCCUAUAGGUUGAUUUUGCAAUUUCCAUACAGCCUCAGUCUAUUACAUGGUCAUAUAACCCCUCUACACGGUCUAUAGAAUCCCACACAACUGUGUGCCCCCGUUUUUUUUCAAAUUUUAUAGUUUUUUCCCAAAAUUUUAUGAUUUGUUCAGUUUAGUCCCUAAAUCGUUACUGAACUAUUUUAGUGUCUUAAAUUAUUCCAUUAAGUCUUUAAUGAUAUGAAUAAUGUUGGAAUCCAUAAUUUGAUUGACUGAAUUAAUAUUAUAUAUAUUUGAUUGAAUUGUGAUUAAUACAUAUGUUUAUUUGUAUUUGAGAUCGUACGUUCAAUAUACCUUAUAUUACUAUGAAACGCAACACAUGAUAAGCAUGCUUUUGGCUACUAUAUCGAACUAUUAUAAGCCUAAUAUUUUCCACUGUAUAGUACUAUUAUAGGCAUAAUGACUGCUACCAUAUUGUUCUGUUAAAAGCCCAUUAAAUACUACAGUAUUGAUAUGUUUUAAGUAUGCCAUAUUGCAUUGUAUGGGAUUGGACGUUAUGAACAGAGGAAGUAUUGUCAAUUUAUCUGCAUUAUUUUGCAGUGUACCCACAGCCAUAGGCAUAUUCGAUCUGCGACGGUCUUGUUGUGUACCCACAGCCAUAGGUAGAUCCCAUCUGUUACAUUUUUACUGUUCAUCCACAACCUCGUGAUAGUUAUUACCUACAAACAUAUUGUGCAUCGAUAGCCAAAGACAAAUUUUACCUGCAUUAUUUUGUUGUGUAUCCAUAGCCAUAGGCAGAUUCCAUUUGCGGUGCUUUGCUGUGUGUCCACAGCCAUUGACAGUUAUUUUGUAAACCAUUGAUUGUUAAACCACAAUUCGGUGUGUUGGUGGUUGGAGUUCAAAAGAGCUCCCAUUGUGGUGUGUACCAGUGGGGUAUGAUGUUUUCUAUUAAAACCAAAACGAUAUGACAUCCACAAAAACAUGUGCAUACAACUAUGAAAUUUCUGAUAUGACAUAUAUAUGUAUAUUGUUGAAUGAUUUGAAACAUCGAUAUUAUGAUAUUGCCACUGUAAAUCAUUUCUAUGUGACAUAUUUUCGUAUGCUUAAUCAUUUACACUAAUUAUCUUGUAACUAAAUUCACAUUGAAUGUCAUAGGUCACUCCCCCAUUUAGUUCCAUCCUUACAGAUAACCCACCAGGUUAGAAUGUGAAGGCGGCAACCGGAGGGUCUCGGCUCGGUUUUUAGUAAAAAUAUUUUAGAAUUAUUAAUUGAUCUUUUCAUUAUUUAGAGAUUGUUUUAUUUUAUUUUGAACUGUGACAUGAAACUUAGAAUUUGUUUUCUUUUGGCAUGCAUAACAAUUAAUUUGAUUUACGGAUAUCGAAAUAUCAAUAUUAAUUAGUUGUGCAUGAACUUCGGUUUUAUUAAGAAUACAAACAAUUAUCAGUUUUCUACUAUUAAAUUAUAAUUAAGAAUUUUGAGUAGUAAAUAAACUAGUAAUAUUAACUAAGUUUUCUUCCAAAGUUAAACAAAUAUUUUAAAAUGACUGUUUUCAAAACUCUAAUAGCUUACGGUAAAAGUAAUUUUAUAUAAAAAAAAUUAUGCAUAUAUAUAAGUAUUUAGUUAAUUUUUAGUUCAUCACUAAUAAAAAAUAACAUCAAUAGAAAAGAAAUUAAUAAUAUGAAUUAAGAACAACAUAUAUAAGUUUUCAUAUAAAAAAUUCUCUUACUUAUCAUACAAAAUAAGAUUAUAAUUAGAUGAUGUUUUACCAAAAAAUGUGAAAUAAAAUCAAAUAAAAUAAAAACCAAAAUCAACUCAUAAUAAAUAAAAUAAUCACACUAAUGCAUAAGGGACCAUCAAAAUAUGACCAAAGACUUUGGGAUUUGAAGCCAUUGUUGAGAAAGUAAGGAAGGUCGUUUUGAAAGAGUAAAUAAGAUCUGUAAAAAAUCAAAUUAUCUAUGCUCAAAUCAUCUUAUUUAUAUACAAGUUGAAGAUUUUUAGGAUUAAGAUUUAAAAUCCCAAGUAAUGAAUGAUUUAUGAAAUUAAAUAAAAAUUUUGAAUUUGAAAACAACUAUCAUUUAAUUAUAAUUAAUUCAAAUAUAUUGAUUUUAUUUGCAUAUUUACCCUUUUCAAAUAUAAUUAAAGUCUAUAUAAAAUUAUAUUCAGAAGAAUAAAAAUGUUUUAUUUUCCAAAUAUAAUGAAUCGAAUUAAUUAAAAUAUACCUUGUAAUUAACACUGAUUUAGAGCAUUAUUAAAUAAAUAACUUGUAUUGAGACCGCCUUUUAGCAUAUUUUCGUCUACUUUCUAGCACGUUUUCGUUUUUUUCUCUUUAGUUCUCUGUUAUGCUUUUUUCCCUAAUAUUCUAGUCAAACAAUAUCCUGUUUCUGUUUAUGAUUUUAAGUUCUAAGAGAGUUGGCUACUUUUCGAGGUUUGUUAAUGGAAAUGAGUUUGGAGAACUUGAGUAUUGAUGAAGGGGAAUACGAAGUGUGGGUGGUUGCUUGGGAUGAAGAUGCUUAGAAACCUAUCUAUGAAUUCUGUCUUGUGGGAUGCUUUUUGACGACUAGUGUGGUGCAUUUUCCAGCAAUGAGAAACACUAUGGCAAAUCUAUGACAUUCUUUUGGUUGGGUGCAGAUCGCAGAUCUUGGAGAAAAGAUAUUCUUAUUUUAGUUUUUCAAUGAGAUAGAUAUUGCAAGAGCGGAGAAUGGAGCACCAUGGAUGUUUAACAAUCAUUUAUUAAUUAGUCAUCGGCUGAUGGAAGAGGAUGAUCCGAUGUUAGUCCCAAUGAUACAUGACAAUUUUUGGGUCCAAGUGCAUGACUUGCCUCCAGGUCUUUUUUCAGAAUUAGUAGCAAAAUAGUUCAAAAAUUUUAUUGGAAAAUUUUUCGAUUACGAUACUAAACAAUUGAACAAGGGAAUGGGGAAUUUCUUAAGAAUUUGAGUCCAGUUGGAUGUGCGAAAGCCGUUGAAAAGGAGAAAAAAAAUUGAUGAUUUCAUCUUCAAAGUCCAUUUAUGCCAAUUUCAGGUAUGAAAAAUUAACUCUGUUUUGCUUAAUGUCUGGUGUUUUGGGACAUGGUGAUAGUAUUUGUCUAGUAAAUAUUCAUCAUAUGGGGAAGAAAAUCGAAAUAGGAUGGGAUCUAUGAUUGAGGGCAGAACCAAGGAGUGCGAUGAGCACAAACAAUAUCUGGCUAAUGGAGGAAUGUGAGUUUAGAUUUUUGGGAAAUAAUUUGGGUGGGUGAAAUUUGGGGCAAAAUCUAGGUGAUGAUUUGCUGCAUAAUUUUCAAAAUCAAAUUAAUCCUAUUUUAAGAUUUAAUUUGAAAGGAAAAUCUUUCAGGCAUAAUUCGAAUGAAGGACUCUCAAACAUAGAGGCCUAAAAGGUAAUGGAUCAAGAACAAGAAGAAAAUCCAUUAGAGUUUAUGGAAGGAAAAAAAGGCCUCACUCUAAGGUAAGGCGUUCAAAUGGGCUGAAUGUUCCAGUCCAGAUUGGGGAUUCCAAUAUAAUUGGCAAUGACAAAUCUCAACUGAUAUUAGCAGCUACCAGCUGGUAGGCCUACUAGACGUCAUGAAGCUGUUAUGUUUGAAUGUUCUCGAUUUGGGGAAUCCGCGGGCAGUUUGAAGACUUUAGCAUUGGCUGAAAUUUUAUAAUCCCCAACUUGUCUUCUUUAUGGAGACAAAACUUGAUUGAAAGAGGAUAAAAAAGUAAGAAACAAUUGUGGUUAUUUCUACGAAAUUGACGCAUCGACUAAGGGCACGAGAGGUGGCUUAUGUUUCGGAUAGAAAGAGGGUUGUUCGAUUUCCCGUUAAAGCUUCUCAAAAAACCACAUUGAUGUUGUUAGACAAGAAAUCUCAGCUAGUCAGGAGUGGCAUUUUACGGGCUUUUAUGGUGCACCAAAUAAUAGGAAUAGGGUGGAAACUGUUAGAGUAUGCCCAAAGAUCAAUCAUGAGAUGGUUGUAAUAACAUACUUGAUUUAUCAUGUUUAUUAAUAUAAGGCGUUACAAUUAUUAUUUCAGUUUUUUUUCUGUGUAUAUAAAUAAACUAUUUUAUAAUAAUGUCCUGAAAAUAAUAUGAUUAUUCUUAAAAGUUCCUUAGUCAAGUAUUAUUAUUGGAUAGGACAACGAUAAUGCAUUAAGACUAACAUGUAGUUUAUUGAUGAUAAAGAGUUGUCAUUGAUAUGGAAUGUCAGAAUCAUUACAUGAAUAUGUGUGUUAAAGAACAACAUAUUGGACUGACCCGUUAUGAGUAUGUUUCUUGGAUUAUUAUGUAAUUGUCACGACAUUACUCAUAAUGAUUAAUAUUUAUAUGAUCCUCAGACUAGAGAUCAUCAUAAUCCCAACAUCAUGAGUUGUAUAUUUUGAUACAGUCAAACGUACACCGUAACUGGUUGUUCUAUAAAGACUGAUGUUGGAUAUACCACAAUCUAUGUAGAGAGAUAUGGUUAGUCGAUAUAGGAUAAGUCCCUCUUACAUAAUAGGAGUAAUAUCUUAGGCCACUUGAUUAAGUAAGACUAGAAAUGCAUGGCCAUGCUCAAAUAAGUUGAUAUUAGAUGUUAUACUUAUUUGUAUAUCGUAGUCUGCUUAAGAUAUCAAAGAACAUAGAAUGGACAAUGCAUGUGUGACUAUUCCAUGACUUGUGUCCAAUCCAGAGAUAAAGGACUUAAGGAUUAUUGCAUAAAAGGUUAAUCAUAAAAAAAAUGUUAUGUCGAAUCAUGAUCUCUUGUGACUUAGGUAGCAAUGAUGCAUUGCUAGAUGCCACUCAUUGUUUGUAGCAUUAGAAUCAUUCUAGUGUUACUGCUAAUGUUACAGGAACCUACAGGGUCACACACUAUAGUUGAAAUGAACGGAAUAAACCAUAGUUGGUAUUAUUUUUGGGGUCGCUUGAAUUAAAUUAAUUAUAGAAUUAAUUUAAUUCGAUAAUCAAAUUUCCAACACAUUAUAUACAAGGUUGUACGUAUAGUGAGGACAUGAAUUUGGUUAGCAUAAGAAUUCAAAUAAAUAUAUGGUUUACCGAACUUAUAUUAUCAUUAAUGUAAUUAUAAUUUUCGGUUUAAAAUAUUAUUAUAUUUAUUUAAUUCCUAAAAACCCUAAAACAAAAGGAUAUAUAUAAUCCCGUUUUUCUUUGUUUGAGCCUAACAGCCGUCAAAGAAAAAUAACUCUCAAAACUGUUUUGGGGAUUCCUUCCGUUCGUAGUCAACUGGGUGGAUUACGUAGACCCCAGAAUCACGAUUGAUUGCGGCUUGGUUCGACAGCAGAUCAGACUACUCGUUAUUGAGGUGUUGCUGUCUACUCUGAAUAAACAUUAGGUAAUUUCGUAACCUUGAUCACCCCGAUUCGUUCCUCACACAUGAAUCCAUGGUUAGGGUCGCCGAUUUUAUUUUUUCGCUACGCCGUAGGGGUGCCGGCGAUCCAACAGAAACAUGGACUCUUUUAAAAAAAUUGAAAACUUAAAAUUUCCCUUACCUUGUUAGUGGUGAUUUUAAGAAAAUUUUGUUUGAUUACGAGAAGAAAGGGGGUAUUCCUAGAGAUGAAGGGAAAAUGAAAGAAUUCAAGAAGGCGUUGUUUGAGUUUGGUUUGGAGGAUAUUGGUUAUACAAGCCCAUGGUUUACCUAGGAACGUGAAAACUUACUAGAAACCAAUAUCAGAGAAAGACUUGAUCGGGAUGUUGCUAAUGAGGAGUGGAUUCAGAAUCAUUUGAAAAUUUUCUCUAAGGCAUCUUACUUAUUCAUUUCAUUUUUUGAGCAUUGCCCUUUAUUCAUUCAAAUAGAUCAAGAGGAAAAUAGAAGAGUAAAAAAUCAAUUUAGAUUCGAAGCAUGGUGGUGCAUGGGAGAGUAAUGUGAGAUAAAAAUUAAGAAGUUAUGAGAAUCUAGCUCUGGAGAGCUAAUUGAUAAAUUGGGGUAUAUAAGGCCAUAUUUGAAGGUGUGGUUCGAAGGAAUAAAAACUAAAAAGAGGAAGGUAACGAAGAGGCUGAGGAAAAAACUGGAGGAAUUGGAUUGUCAGGAAAGAACAGAUGAUGUGAUGGCAGAAAUAAUCGAUGUCAAAUUGCAUCUUAAUAUGAAGGCUGAUCAAGAAGAAAGUUAUCGGGAGCAAAGACUGAAAGAAAAGUGGUUAAAAUUGAGUGAUAAAAAAUACCUCUUUUUUCCAUAAUUUUGGUACACAAAGGUGUUGACAAAAUCAAAUUAAUGGGUUGUAAAACGAGGGUGGAAUUUUAGUCACUGAAGGGGGGAUAUGGAAAGGGUUGCUCGAGAUUAUUUUUCUGAAAUUUUUGCGAGUAGAGGAGAAAACAAUUCUGAUAAACUUUUAGUAGAAGUUCAAACUUGUAUUAUUGAUGAUACAAAUAGAGAAUUGACAACUGAAUACAAAUGAGAGGAAAUUUUUGAAGCUUUGAAGACAAUGGGCCUAACUAAAGCAUCGGGAGAGGAUGGAUUCCCAGCUUUAUUCUUUUAAAAGUACUGACACAUUAUGGGAAGGGAUAUUUUCUAGUUCUACCUCAAUAUUUUGAACAAAGGUAAAUAUUUAGAACCUUUGAAUAAAACAAAUAUUGUUUUAAUCCCAAAAGUGAAUCAUCCUACUAACCUAAAAAAGUUCAGACCAAUAAGCUUAUGUACGGUGCUUUAUAAAAUUAUUGCGAAGACAAUUGCAAAUAGAUGACAAAAGACUCUAGAAAGAUGCAUUGAUGAGGCUCAGAGUGCUUUUGUGCCCGACAGACUAAUCAUAGAUAAUUUACUCAUGGCUUGCGAAGUUUUACAUGUUUUUAGAAAAAGGAGGACAGGGAAGAAAUGAUGCUUGGCUCUAAAAUUGGAUAUGAUAAAGGCCUAGGAUCGUGUGGAGUGGCACUUUUUUGAAAAAAUGAUGCUGAAAAUAGGCUUUGCGGUAUCUUGGGUACAGUUUGUAAUGCACUGUAUUAACUCUAUUUCGUAUUCUAUCAUCUUUAACGGUGAAUCUGGUGAUAUCUUUAGGCCAAAUAGAGGGCUGAGACAGGGUGACCCAUUGAGCCCAUACUUAUUUAUUUUUUGUAGUAAAGGCUUUUUAACUUUGAUGAGAAGGGCCUUACAUCUAGGUCAUGUUAAGGGAGUGAAGGUGUGUAGGAAGGGUCCGUAGAUAACUCAUUUGACGUUCGCGGAUAACUAUAUAUUGUUUGGAUAGGCAACUUCUAGAGGGGCUAAUGUUAUAAAGAAUAUUUUGCAGGAAUAUGAAGAAAAUUCUGGGCAAUGCAUAAACUUUGACAAGUCUACUGUGUUUUUCAGUUCUAAUGUUUCUACUAGGGACAAGUGGGAAAUUUCGCAAAUACUAAAAUUCAAAGUAUCAGAGUAUCCAUAAAAAUAUUUGGGUCUACCAAAUAUGGUGGGAAGAGGAAAAAAAAUAGGCUUUUCAACCUUUGAAGGACAAGAUGCUGAAGAAGUUAAGUGGAUGGAGAAACAAGUACCUUCCAUAAGGAGGAAAAAAGGUAUUCAUCAAAUCUAUUUUACAAGCAAUCCCUACAUCCUCUAUGUUAUGUUUUUUUGUUACCAAGUUCAUUAUGUGCUGAGUUAGAGAGUAUCAUUGCGAAUUUCUGGUUGCAAAAAAGUUGUACUAAGAAGGGAAUUCACUAGUGUGAAUGGAAGCAUAUGUGUGAAUUAAAAGGGCAGGGGGAAUAGGCUUUCGGAAGUUGUCAAAGUUCAAUUUAGCCUUGUUAGCGAAAAAAAGGUAGAGAAUGCUUAACUAUCCAAAUUACUUACUUGUUAAUCAUUGAAAGCAAAAUAUUUCCAUAACACAAAUUUUCUAAACUCAAGUUUAGAAAGUUCAUCUUUCGUAUACCUGACGAAGUAUAUGGGGCACAAAGGGUCUGUUGGCUUCGAGGCUAUGAUGGGAAGUAGGAAAUAGAACAAAUGUUUCGAUUUAGAAUGAUUAUUGGAUACCUGAGAGGGGCAAAAUUGCAUAUCAAUAUCUUGUUUGGAAAGAGGAGGCCUCUAGUGAGUAUUCAGUGAGAAGUGCCUAUCACAAGAUGAAUAGGGGCAACUUCUAAUGACCCUUUACUUUACAAAAAAAUUUGGUUGCUGGAUUUUCCCAACAAAAUUAAAAUCAAAAUUUGGAGAAUUAUUAAAAAUUUCCUGCCUACUUUUGCUAAUCUACAUUGCAGGUGGUGUGGAAAAGGUGGAACAUAUUUUCAAAUACUAUAAAAAAUCAAUUAAAAUUUGGAAGUUAAUGAAUUUUAGAUGGCCAACGAUGUUACCUAAUUCAAACAUCAAUGAUUGGAUGACCCAAUUCUUUUACAACCAUUCCAAUCAGCUUGGCAGAGUUUUUGGAUGUGCGCUUUGGGCAACUUGGACAGACAGGAAACAUUUCUUACAUGAAGAUAAACAGAGGCCAACAUUAGAAUAGUUAAUUUCAUUAGUUCUUAUAUUCAAGAACUGGAUGGAAUAAACAAGAGAGCAGCAUAAAUACCAUAGAGGAUACAAAGUGGAAGGCUUCGAUGCACAGACUACAAAGAUUAAAUUUGAUGUAGCUUACUACCAGGAAGAGAACAAAUCAAGUUCAGGCAUUAUCAUCAGAGACACAACUGGUGAAGUUCUACAUUCAAAAGUUCCAUUGCAUGUAAACAUACCGACUUCCUUUGCAGCCGAAGCUGUGGCGUGUAUGAAGGCAGUGGAAUUGGGAUAGUAUGUGGGUCUUUUAGUGGUGGAGGUUGAAAGUGAUGCUUUAACGGUGAUUAGAAAGAUGCAAAAAGACAUAAAUGAUAGAUCAAAAAUCGGGGCUUAAAUUUUCAAUAUCAGAUCUAUGAGCAAAAGAUUCGAAAAAUGUACCUUUAAACAUGCAUUAAGACAGGAGAAUAAAGCAACCCAUGUUAUGGCUAUAGAAGGUCUCAAAAGACAAGAAGAAUUUUACCUGAGAAAUGUAGUUCCUGAUUAUGCAGAACAAUCUGUGGUAUUUGAUAAACAAUGGUUAGGGCUUUCAGCGAAUAGAUGAUCAAUGACCUGAUUCAAAGGAGUUUCUGGAAAGACACACAAAGCUAUCAAACUGGAAAACGGGGGUUCUUGAGAACUUGCUGCUUCAGAUCCUUGGAUAAGAAGAGUGUCGAUUCAUGUGACUGGAUUCCUUUUCUGAUUAGGGUUUUAUUUAUGAUUUUUUUUGUUUUUUUACUUCAUUUAUUUGGUUGUCAUUCGGCUUUUUUGUUUUAGUCGUUUCUUUCUGUUU